This 253-nucleotide ribosomal RNA is filed under the name uncultured bacterium. RNAcentral describes it as "partial 16S ribosomal RNA". It matches the Rfam family "Bacterial small subunit ribosomal RNA", at positions 524 to 776 of the family's 1533-position model. The record is from RNAcentral.
UACGGGGGGGGCAAGCGUUGUUCGGAAUUACUGGGCGUAAAGGGCUCGUAGGCGGCCAACUAAGUCAGACGUGAAAUCCCUCGGCUUAACCGGGGAACUGCAUCUGAUACUGGAUGGCUUGAGAUUGGGAGAGGGAUGCGGAAUUCCAGGUGUAGCGGUGAAAUGCGUAGGUAUCUGGAGGAACACCGGUGGCGAAGGCGGCAUCCUGGACCAACACUGACGCUGAGGAGCGAAAGCCAGGGGAGCAAACGGG